AUUAGGAAAAGUGAGAAAAAUGAGUCCAAAAGGACUUAGGAGAAAGGAGCAGCACGGGUGAGCUGUUGGGUGUAUGGGUCAGGCUGCAGGACGCGCAGGUGGAAUAAGCGAGCCGUGCGAACCUGCUACUUGGGUUUGGGCUGCGCACGGGUAGGUCGGUGGGCAUGCAACUUGUCUUUUGCGUACAUGCACAUUGCUAAGCACAUAUUGCGCGUGUCCUGCGCACAUGCCCAAGCACACUGGGCAUGUGGAACAACUUGUUUGCACAUGCCUAUGAGCUGCGCGUGUAGCCAGUUUCUUGCGCACUGGUGCACGCAUUAUGGGGCAUACAGGCAU
RNAcentral lists this long non-coding RNA (336 nucleotides) under Carica papaya (papaya). RNAcentral's name for it is "long non-coding RNA (CPAP_LNC009833)". Lineage: Eukaryota; Viridiplantae; Streptophyta; Magnoliopsida; Brassicales; Caricaceae. The record is from RNAcentral.